Molecule: unclassified non-coding RNA, 796 nt
Filed under: uncultured Prochlorococcus sp.
Lineage: Bacteria; Bacillati; Cyanobacteriota; Cyanophyceae; Synechococcales; Prochlorococcaceae
Description: partial 16S-23S ribosomal RNA intergenic spacer; may also contain 16S ribosomal RNA and 23S ribosomal RNA
Rfam family: Bacterial small subunit ribosomal RNA (bases 1-93)
Source: RNAcentral
UUGUGGAGGAGGACGCCGAAGGUGGGGCUGAUGACUGGGGUGAAGUCGUAACAAGGUAGCCGUACCGGAAGGUGCGGCUGGAUCACCUCCUAACAGGGAGACAAAAACUGAUUAUUGAUGUCUGAAUAUUGAUUUCAGGCCGUAAUCCUGUCACCUUAGGUCGAUCGGUACCUCAGAUUGAAGCUAUAUAAAAUGAGAAAUCAAUUUUAUACAUUGUCUUUAAUUUCAGUUCCUAAACUUGUCUAGGUCACCCCAUUAAGGGUUACUCCUGGGCCAUUAGCUCAGGUGGUUAGAGCGCACCCCUGAUAAGGGUGAGGUCCCUGGUUCAAGUCCAGGAUGGCCCAUUCCAAUAGGUGUUGGGGGUAUAGCUCAGUUGGUAGAGCGCCUGCUUUGCAAGCAGGAUGUCAGCGGUUCGAGUCCGCUUACCUCCACUGAUCGAUCUCCUGAUGACGAUAUCCUAAGGAAAUUGGCUUUGUUAGAUGUGACUUAGAGGUUGGUUAUCUGAACGAACCUAGCUUCUUAUCAUUCCUACUAAAUUACGAGUAAUUUUAGAUAAGGUUGAUAUGACGCUGGGCUCACUCCAUUUCGAAAGAAUUAAGGAGGAGUUUCAGCAGAACCUUGACAACUGCAUAGGUGAGUCUGGAAAGAAUAAAGCAUCCCAUGGAUGCAUUAUUUGUUUUUCUUAGAUCAAUGAAUAAUGUCUAAUUCUUGAGUUAGAGCCAGAACUCUAUAACUUUUAAAUAUGUUUUAAUUAGGCAUUUUUUAAUCUUUAUAGAGGUUAAUGGUCAAGCUACAA